CGAGGGCACGGCCUGGGUUGAGGCCGCCCGGCUGCUGGCCCGGCGGUACGGCGUGCGGAUCGACGCCUACGCC
This 73-nucleotide transfer RNA is filed under the name Streptomyces parvus. RNAcentral describes it as "tRNA-Ser". The record is from RNAcentral. Lineage: Bacteria; Bacillati; Actinomycetota; Actinomycetes; Kitasatosporales; Streptomycetaceae.